Molecule: ribosomal RNA, 400 nt
Filed under: uncultured bacterium
Lineage: Bacteria
Description: bacterial SSU rRNA
Rfam family: Bacterial small subunit ribosomal RNA
Source: RNAcentral
UAGGGAAUCUUGCGCAAUGGGCGAAAGCCUGACGCAGCCAUGCCGCGUGAAUGAUGAAGGUCUUAGGAUUGUAAAAUUCUUUCACCGGGGAAGAUAAUGACGGUACCCGGAGAAGAAGCCCCGGCUAACUUCGUGCCAGCAGCCGCGGUAAUACGAAGGGGGCUAGCGUUGCUCGGAAUUACUGGGCGUAAAGGGCGCGUAGGCGGACAUUUAAGUCAGAGGUGAAAGCCCAGGGCUCAACCUUGGAAUUGCCUUUGAUACUGGAUGUCUUGAGUUCGGGAGAGGUGAGUGGAAUGCCGAGUGUAGAGGUGAAAUUCGUAGAUAUCUGGAGGAACACCGGUGGCGAAGGCGGCAUUCUGGACCAACACUGACGCUGAGGAGCGAAAGCCAGGGGAGCAAA